UAAGGAAUAUUGGACAAUGGUCGCAAGACUGAUCCAGCCAUGCCGCGUGCAGGAAGACGGCCCUAUGGGUUGUAAACUGCUUUUGUACCAGAGAAAACCUAUCUACGUGUAGAUGGCUGAUAGUAUGGUAAGAAUAAGCAUCGGCUAACUUCGUGCCAGCAGCCGCGGUAAGACGAAGGAUGCAAGCGUUAUCCGGAGUCAUUGGGUUUAAAGGGUGCGUAGGCGGGCUUGUAAGUCAGUGGUGAAAUCUCUCAGCUUAACUGAGAAACUGCCAUUGACACUGCAGGCCUAGAGUAUAGAUGACGUUGGCGGAAUAUGACAUGUAGUGGUGAAAUACUUAGAUAUGUCAUAGAACACCGAUUGCGAAGGCAGCUAACGAAACUAUAACUGACGCUGAGGCACGAAAGUGCGGGGAUCAAACA
Molecule: ribosomal RNA, 422 nt
Filed under: uncultured bacterium
Lineage: Bacteria
Description: bacterial SSU rRNA
Rfam family: Bacterial small subunit ribosomal RNA
Source: RNAcentral